RNAcentral lists this ribosomal RNA (434 nucleotides) under uncultured Lachnospiraceae bacterium. Its description in RNAcentral is "partial 16S ribosomal RNA". It matches the Rfam family "Bacterial small subunit ribosomal RNA", at positions 341 to 792 of the family's 1533-position model. Lineage: Bacteria; Bacillati; Bacillota; Clostridia; Lachnospirales; Lachnospiraceae. The record is from RNAcentral.
ACGGGAGGCAGCAGUGGGGAAUAUUGGACAAUGGGGGAAACCCUGAUCCAGCGACGCCGCGUGAGUGAAGAAGUAUUUCGGUAUGUAAAGCUCUAUCAGCAAGGAAGAAAAUGACGGUACUUGACUAAGAAGCUCCGGCUAAAUACGUGCCAGCAGCCGCGGUAAUACGUAUGGAGCAAGCGUUAUCCGGAAUUACUGGGUGUAAAGGGAGCGCAGGCGGGAAAUCAAGUUGGAUGUGAAAUGUCGGGGCUUAACCCCGGAACUGCAUCCAAAACUGAUUUUCUUGAGUGAAGUAGAGGUAGGCGGAAUUCCGAGUGUAGCGGUGAAAUGCGUAGAUAUUCGGAGGAACACCAGUGGCGAAGGCGGCCUACUGGGCUUUAACUGACGCUGAGGCUCGAAAGUGUGGGGAGCAAACAGGAUUAGAUACCCUGGUA